Molecule: ribosomal RNA, 443 nt
Filed under: uncultured bacterium
Lineage: Bacteria
Description: partial 16S ribosomal RNA
Rfam family: Bacterial small subunit ribosomal RNA
Source: RNAcentral
CCUACGGGUGGCAGCAGUGGGGAAUAUUGGGCAAUGGGCGCAAGCCUGACCCAGCAACGCCGCGUGAAGGAAGAAGGCUUUCGGGUUGUAAACUUCUUUUCUCAGGGACGAAGCAAGUGACGGUACCUGAGGAAUAAGCCACGGCUAACUACGUGCCAGCAGCCGCGGUAAUACGUAGGUGGCAAGCGUUAUCCGGAUUUACUGGGUGUAAAGGGCGUGUAGGCGGGAAAGCAAGUCAGAUGUGAAAACCAUGGGCUCAACCUGUGGCCUGCAUUUGAUACUGUUUUUCUUGAGUACUGGAGAGGCAGGCAGAAUUACUAGUGUAGCGGUGAAAUGCGUAGAGAUUAGGAGGAACACCAGUGGCGAAGGCGGUCUGCUGGACAGCAACUGACGCUGAGGCGCGAAAGCGUGGGGAGCAAACAGGAUUAGAUACCCGGGUAGUC